This is a long non-coding RNA of Cydia pomonella (codling moth), 2301 nucleotides long. RefSeq lists it as uncharacterized. The transcript is spliced from 2 exons. NCBI's taxonomy places the organism in Eukaryota, Metazoa, Arthropoda, Insecta, Lepidoptera, Tortricidae. The record is from RefSeq and is a predicted model, not a curated record.
CGUAAUGAUAUGUUUAGUCCGCGGUAGAUCUCGAAAGAAAUCCAGUUUCAUUAGUGAAAUCGUUAAGGAGGUUGCAGGCAUGGCGCCUAAAAAAAUUACACGCCUCUUCAAAUGGCCCAGGUGGUAGAAGCAGUCAGAAAAGGUGAGAAAACUGCAACUGCUGCAAAGAAGUUUGGUGUACCCAGAAUUACAUUACAUGAUAAGAUUUCCGGUAAGACUCCAGUUGAAUGUUCCAUGGGCCCUAAAACAUAUUUGUCAACGGAAGAGGAGGUUAUUUUAGAAAAAUGGGUACUUGAAAUGGCUGAAAAACACAUUCCCGUUACUAGAGAUGAGCUCCUCGAUAGCGUACAACGUAUCAUAAUUUAUCAGGAUAAAACAACCCCAUUUACUGACAAUAGACCGGGCAAGAAAUGGUACAACCUUUUUCUAAACAGACAUCCUAUAUUGUCUGAGAGAACGGCACAAAAUUUAACGACAGCUCGAGAUGCUGUUACAGAAGAGCAUAUAAGGCGGUGUUUUGAAGAAGUUGAAUCUUAUCUACGCGAAAAUGAUCUCAAAGAUGUAUUAGAACAGCCGGCAAUAAUAUUCAACACAGACGAAAGUGCCUUUUUUUGUCGCCUAAGGCUGGUAAAGUUCUUGCAAAAAAAGGAGACAAACAUAUCUACCAAUCCUCCGGAAACGAAAAAGAUAAUUUGACAGUACUAAUUACUGGAAAUGCCUAGUGGACAAGAAUCAAAAGAAACAACAAAUAACACCUCAAUUAUUGAUAAGCCGAGUUGUUCUAACAUAACUGAUUCAGUUACAAUACCUUCGACAUCUUGCUCUUCAACUUCAGCUACGGCACUUCCAACCAAUUAGUAAAUCCACUUCAGACAGCUGCCAAUGCCUGCACUUCAACAUUUACCCUCAAUGAGAAUUCUGUAGUAGAAAUAAUAUCUUCAAAAGAGACGAUCACACUUGAAUCCAAAGAAAAGUCUAAUGAAGCUUUGAUAAUUAAUCAAUAAUUAAGUUCAUCGAAGCAAGCAAGAGGUUUACUUCAGAUAUCUUCAACUUCUUCAAUGUGUGUUCUUCAAAGUGCUGCAGAAAAAACACCUUUAAAAGAGAUGAUAAGCACUAAUACAUCAAAAACUGUUGCAAAUAAAGUGGGAAAUACACAUAUUCCAUCGCCAUUUAAACGAAAUUUAUUUUGGCCCGGAGAAGAUGAAGAUUAAGAGAAAAAAUUCCUUCUGCCAUCACAAGUAAAACAUGGAGGGAUUAUCACGAAGUGAAAGAGAACCAAAAAAGAGAAGCAGCAAAACUAAAAGAAAUUAAAGCCCAAGAAAGAGUAGUGAAAAGACAGUUAAAACAGAGAGAAAUGGAAAACAAAAAGCAAAAUAGAAUAAAAGAUAAAGAACAUAAGAAGAAAAAACGAAAUACAACACCAAAACCGAAACCAAAUGAUACAUCGCCGGACAAUACAGACACCGAGGUAAACUAUGCAGAAAGUGAAGAUAGCUACAACAUGGAAAUCGAACAAGAACUAACAGACGAAGAUAUACCAUUGAGCAAAUAUCCUAAGCUAGCAAAAACAUAUUCUAGUGGAGAUUAUGUUAUAAUCCAAUACGAAGGAGAAUUUUUCCCAGGCGAAAUUAAAAAUGUUGAUAAUAACAAAUUUGAAAUUAACCAUGACCUUUUCUGUGGGUAACACGUUCAAAUGGCCGGAAAAAGAAGAUAAAAUCUGGUACCAAAAGUCUGACAUAGUCAAAGCAAUUUCAAAACCAACGCUAUGCAAUAAAAGAGGUUUUUAUACGAUACCAGAAAUGAAAGAAUGUAAGGUAUUAAGUAUUUAAUUUAAUGUUCUUCAGAAAACAUUUAACUUUCUUUGUUUUAUAGAUUUUUAAGCCAAACAACUAUUAAUUAAGUGGUAGACUAAAACGAGUCUGUGAUCAAAACUUGCCAUAAAUUUAUUAUUAAAUAAUAAAUAGGUACCUACUUAAUAAUAUUGUAAUUCCAAGUGGAAAUAUCAUAAGAAGUAUGUUAAUUUUAUAUGCCACUGAGAAGAUCUCAUUAAGUUUUGUUGAUUAGUAUUAAGCAAGUAGAUGAAACUUAGUAUUAGUAACCUACUUAAGUAACAAAAAUGUGAUUAAAAGUUGACAUAAUAAAUAAGAAAAAACUAUUUUAUAAUAUAGAGGAUUAAAAAAAUUAAAACAUUAACACCAUAGCGUUAAAAUUAUUAGUUACUUAAGUACUACAAUUACCAAAGCAUUACAUGCCAACAUGUCCUUGUUUUUAUUUAGCGAAUUAAAAUGAUUAAAAGACUGA